Molecule: ribosomal RNA, 548 nt
Filed under: uncultured bacterium
Lineage: Bacteria
Description: bacterial SSU rRNA
Rfam family: Bacterial small subunit ribosomal RNA
Source: RNAcentral
UAGGGAAUCUUCGGCAAUGGGGGGAACCCUGACCGAGCAACGCCGCGUGAGUGAAGAAGGUUUUCGGAUCGUAAAGCUCUGUUGUUAAGGAAGAACGAGUGUGAGAAUGGAAAGUUCAUACUGUGACGGUACUUAACCAGAAAAGGACGGCUAACUACGUGCCAGCAGCCGCGGUAAUACGUAGGUCACGAGCGUUGUCCGGAUUUAUUGGGCGUAAAGCGAGCGCAGGCGGUUAGAUAAGUCUGAAGUUAAAGGCAGUGGCUCAACCAUUGUAGGCUUUGGAAACUGUUUAACUUGAGUGCAGAAGGGGAGAGUGGAAUUCCAUGUGUAGCGGUGAAAUGCGUAGAUAUAUGGAGGAACACCGGUGGCGAAAGCGGCUCUCUGGUCUGUAACUGACGCUGAGGCUCGAAAGCGUGGGGACCGAACAGGAUUAGAUACCCUGGUAGUCCACGCCGUAACGAUGAGUGCUAGGUGUUAGGUCCUUUCCGGGACUUAGUGCCGCAGCUAACGCAUUAAGCACUCCGCCUGGGGAGUACGACCGCAAGGUU